CUACCAUGGCUUUCACGGGUAACGGAGGAUUAGGGUUCGAUUCCGGAGAGGGAGCCUGAGAAACGGCUACCACUUCCACGGAAGGCAGCAGGCGCGUAAAUUACCCAAUCCUGAUUCAGGGAGGUAGUGACAAGAAAUAAUGGGUCGGGGUUUCGCCCCGGGACUGCAAUGAGACGAAUUUAGACCCCUUAUCGAGGACCAAUUGGAGGGCAAGUCUGGUGCCAGCAGCCGCGGUAAUUCCAGCUCCAAUAGCGUAUAUUAAAGUUGUUGCAGUUAAAAAGCUCGUAGUUGGAUUUCUGGUAGAAGGAUCGAGCGCACCUGCGUGAUGCUCGCGUCUUCUGCCAUCCUUCUGUUAACCUUUCUCGGCAUUCACUUGUCGGCUAGGGGCUCAGAUAUUUUACCUUGAGAAAAUUAGAGUGUUUCAGGCAGGCUUAUGCCCGGAUACAUUAGCAUGGGAUAAUAGAACAGGACUUCGCUUCUUCUGUUGGUUUGAGGGGUUGAAGUAAUGGUUAAUAGGGAUAGUUGGGGGCAUUAGUACUUAACUGUCAGAGGUGAAAUUCUCGGAUUUGUUAAAGACUGACUUAUGCGAAAGCAUUUGCCAAGGAUGUUUUCAUUAAUCAA
RNAcentral lists this ribosomal RNA (621 nucleotides) under Ciliophora sp. RNAcentral's name for it is "SSU rRNA". It matches the Rfam family "Eukaryotic small subunit ribosomal RNA", at positions 341 to 980 of the family's 1831-position model. Lineage: Eukaryota; Ciliophora. The record is from RNAcentral.